GCCGGAGUAGCUCAGAGGCCAGAGCGUCCGCCUUGUAAGCGGAGGGCCGUCGGUUCGAAUCCGACCUCCGGCU
This 73-nucleotide transfer RNA is filed under the name Thermoleophilaceae bacterium. RNAcentral's name for it is "tRNA-Thr". It matches the Rfam family "tRNA". From Rfam's summary of the family: Transfer RNA (tRNA) molecules are approximately 80 nucleotides in length. Their secondary structure includes four short double-helical elements and three loops (D, anti-codon, and T loops). Further hydrogen bonds mediate the characteristic L-shaped molecular structure. tRNAs have two regions of fundamental functional importance: the anti-codon, which is responsible for specific mRNA codon recognition, and the 3' end, to which the tRNAs corresponding amino acid is attached (by aminoacyl-tRNA synthetases). tRNAs cope with the degeneracy of the genetic code in two manners: having more than one tRNA (with a specific anti-codon) for a particular amino acid; and 'wobble' base-pairing, i.e. permitting non-standard base-pairing at the 3rd anti-codon position. Lineage: Bacteria; Bacillati; Actinomycetota; Thermoleophilia; Thermoleophilales; Thermoleophilaceae. The record is from RNAcentral.